Molecule: ribosomal RNA, 471 nt
Filed under: uncultured organism
Description: partial 16S ribosomal RNA
Rfam family: Bacterial small subunit ribosomal RNA
Source: RNAcentral
CACUCCUACGGGAGGCAGCAGUGGGGAAUUUUGGACAAUGGGCGAAAGCCUGAUCCAGCCAUGCCGCGUGCAGGAUGAAGGCCUUCGGGUUGUAAACUGCUUUUGUACGGAACGAAACGGCCUUUUCUAAUAAAGAGGGCUAAUGACGGUACCGUAAGAAUAAGCCCCGGCUAACUACGUGCCAGCAGCCGCGGUAAUACGUAGGGUGCAAGCGUUAAUCGGAAUUACUGGGCGUAAAGCGUGCGCAGGCGGUUAUGUAAGACAGUUGUGAAAUCCCCGGGCUCAACCUGGGAACUGCAUCUGUGACUGCAUAGCUAGAGUACGGUAGAGGGGGAUGGAAUUCCGCGUGUAGCAGUGAAAUGCGUAGAUAUGCGGAGGAACACCGAUGGCGAAGGCAAUCCCCUGGACCUGUACUGACGCUCAUGCACGAAAGCGUGGGGAGCAAACAGGAUUAGAAACCCUAGUAGUCCC